This is a small nuclear RNA of Sorex fumeus (smoky shrew), 141 nucleotides long. RefSeq annotates it as U4 spliceosomal RNA. The record is from RefSeq and is a predicted model, not a curated record. NCBI's taxonomy places the organism in Eukaryota, Metazoa, Chordata, Mammalia, Eulipotyphla, Soricidae. The transcript has a single exon.
AGCUGUGUGCAGUGGCAGUAUUGUAGCCAAUGAGGUUUAUCUGAGGCAUGAUUAUUGCUAAUUGAAAAUUUUUCCCAAUACCCUGCCCUGAUAACUUGAAAUAUAGUCGGCAUUGGCAAUUUUUGACAGUCUCUAUAGAGA